Molecule: ribosomal RNA, 253 nt
Filed under: uncultured bacterium
Lineage: Bacteria
Description: partial 16S ribosomal RNA
Rfam family: Bacterial small subunit ribosomal RNA
Source: RNAcentral
GACAGAGGGUGCGAACGUUGCUCGGAAUUACUGGGCGUAAAGCGCGUGUAGGCGGUGCCGCACGUCCGGUGUGAAAGCCCAGGGCUCAACCCUGGAAGUGCACUGGAUACGACGGCGCUGGAGUCCUGAAGAGGAGGGCGGAAUUCCCGGUGUAGAGGUGAAAUUCGUAGAUAUCGGGAGGAACACCAGUGGCGAAGGCGGCUCUCUGGACAGGUACUGACGCUGAGACGCGAAAGCGUGGGUAGCAAACAGG